AGUGAACGCUGGCGGUAGGCCUAACACAUGCAAGUCGAACGGCAGCACAGUAAGAGCUUGCUCUUACGGGUGGCGAGUGGCGGACGGGUGAGGAAUACAUCGGAAUCUACUUUUUCGUGGGGGAUGACGUAGGGAAACUUACGCUAAUACCGCAUACGACCUACGGGUGAAAGCAGGGGAUCUUCGGACCUUGCGCGAUUGAAUGAGCCGAUGUCGGAUUAGCUAGUUGGCGGGGUAAAGGCCCACCAAGGCGACGAUCCGUAGCUGGUCUGAGAGGAUGAUCUGCCACACUGGAACUGAGACACGGUCCAGACUCCUACGGGAGGCAGCAGUGGGGAAUAUUGGACAAUGGGCGCAAGCCUGAUCCAGCCAUACCGCGUGGGUGAAGAAGGCCUUCGGGUUGUAAAGCCCUUUUGUUGGGAAAGAAAAGCAGCAGGUUAAUACCCCGCUGUUCUGACGGUACCCAAAGAAUAAGCACCGGCUAACUUCGUG
Molecule: ribosomal RNA, 492 nt
Filed under: uncultured bacterium
Lineage: Bacteria
Description: partial 16S ribosomal RNA
Rfam family: Bacterial small subunit ribosomal RNA
Source: RNAcentral